CCUACGGGUGGCAGCAGUGAGGAAUAUUGGUCAAUGGACGAGAGUCUGAACCAGCCAAGUAGCGUGAAGGAUGACUGCCCUAUGGGUUGUAAACUUCUUUUAUAAAGGAAUAAAACGAGGCACGUGUGCCUUUUUGCAUGUACUUUAUGAAUAAGGAUCGGCUAACUCCGUGCCAGCAGCCGCGGUAAUACGGAGGAUCCGAGCGUUAUCCGGAUUUAUUGGGUUUAAAGGGAGCGUAGAUGGGUUGUUAAGUCAGUUGUGAAAGUUUGCGGCUCAACCGUGAAAUUGCAAUUGAUACUGGCAGUCGUGAGUACAGUUGAGGUAAGCGGAAUUCGUGGUGUAGCGGUGAAAUGCUUAGAUAUCACGAAGAACCCCGAUUGCGAAGGCAGCUUACUAAACUGUGACUGACAUUGAUGCUCGAAAGUGUGGGUAUCAAACAGGAUUAGAUACCCCUGUAGUC
This 460-nucleotide ribosomal RNA is filed under the name uncultured bacterium. RNAcentral's name for it is "partial 16S ribosomal RNA". It matches the Rfam family "Bacterial small subunit ribosomal RNA", at positions 338 to 795 of the family's 1533-position model. The record is from RNAcentral.